Molecule: ribosomal RNA, 448 nt
Filed under: uncultured bacterium
Lineage: Bacteria
Description: bacterial SSU rRNA
Rfam family: Bacterial small subunit ribosomal RNA
Source: RNAcentral
GCUGGCGGCGUGGUUAAGGCAUGCAAGUCGAACGGACUCCUGGAUGGGUAACCUGAAGGGAAGUUAGUGGCGCACGGGUGAGGAAUGCAUGGAUAACGUACCCCAGACACAGGGAUAGCGGCGGAACUUCGGUUCCUUUGCGAAAGUGCCGGUAAUACCUGAUGACCCCGCGGAAUCGCAUGGUUCUGCGGGCAAACGCUCCGGUGGUCUGGGAGCGGUCCAUGUCCUAUCAGCUUGUUGGUGGGGUAACGGCCCACCAAGGCGGCGACGGGUAGCGGGCGUGAGAGCGCGUCCCGCCACAUCGGAACUGAGACACGGUCCGGACACCUACGGGUGGCUGCAGCAACGAAUAUUCCCCAAUGGACGCAAGUCUGAGGGAGCGACGCCGCGUGCAGGAAGAAGUCCCUCGGGAUGUAAACUGCUGUCAGGGGUUAUGAAGAUCUGACCA